UGUAUUCACUACUGUAAGUCACUCUGGAUAAGAGUGUCUGCUAAAUGACUCAAA
Non-coding RNA from Salmo salar (Atlantic salmon), 54 nucleotides. The record is from Rfam. NCBI's taxonomy places the organism in Eukaryota, Metazoa, Chordata, Actinopteri, Salmoniformes, Salmonidae.